AGAGUUUGAUCCUGGCUCAGAUUGAACGCUGGCGGCAGGCUUAACACAUGCAAGUCGAGCGGAAACGAUGAUAGCUUGCUAUCAGGCGUCGAGCGGCGGACGGGUGAGUAAUACUUAGGAAUCUACCUAGUAGUGGGGGAUAGCACGGGGAAACUCGUAUUAAUACCGCAUACGACCUACGGGAGAAAGGGGGCAGUUUACUGCUCUCGCUAUUAGAUGAGCCUAAGUCGGAUUAGCUAGAUGGUGGGGUAAAGGCCUACCAUGGCGACGAUCUGUAGCUGGUCUGAGAGGAUGAUCAGCCACACCGGGACUGAGACACGGCCCGGACUCCUACGGGAGGCAGCAGUGGGGAAUAUUGGACAAUGGGGGAAACCCUGAUCCAGCCAUGCCGCGUGUGUGAAGAAGGCCUUUUGGUUGUAAAGCACUUUAAGCAGUGAAGAAGACUCCGUGGUUAAUACCCACGGACGAUGACAUUAGCUGCAGAAUAAGCACCGGCUAACUCUGUGCCAGCAGCCGCGGUAAUACAGAGGGUGCAAGCGUUAAUCGGAAUUACUGGGCGUAAAGGGAGCGUAGGUGGCUCUAUAAGUCAGAUGUGAAAUCCCCGGGCUCAACCUGGGAACUGCAUCUGAAACUGUAGAGCUAGAGUAUGUGAGAGGAAGGUAGAAUUCCAGGUGUAGCGGUGAAAUGCGUAGAGAUCUGGAGGAAUACCGAUGGCGAAGGCAGCCUUCUGGCAUAAUACUGACACUGAGGCUCGAAAGCGUGGGUAGCAAACAGGAUUAGAUACCCUGGUAGUCCACGCCGUAAACGAUGUCUACUAGUCGUUGGGUCCCUUGAGGACUUAGUGACGCAGCUAACGCAAUAAGUAGACCGCCUGGGGAGUACGGCCGCAAGGUUAAAACUCAAAUGAAUUGACGGGGGCCCGCACAAGCGGUGGAGCAUGUGGUUUAAUUCGAUGCAACGCGAAGAACCUUACCUGGUCUUGACAUAUCUAGAAUCCUGCAGAGAUGCGGGAGUGCCUUCGGGAAUUAGAAUACAGGUGCUGCAUGGCUGUCGUCAGCUCGUGUCGUGAGAUGUUGGGUUAAGUCCCGCAACGAGCGCAACCCUUGUCCUUAGUUACCAGCGGGUUAAGCCGGGAACUCUAAGGAUACUGCCAGUGACAAACUGGAGGAAGGCGGGGACGACGUCAAGUCAUCAUGGCCCUUACGACCAGGGCUACACACGUGCUACAAUGGUAGGUACAGAGGGCAGCUACACAGCGAUGUGAUGCGAAUCUCAAAAAGCCUAUCGUAGUCCAGAUUGGAGUCUGCAACUCGACUCCAUGAAGUAGGAAUCGCUAGUAAUCGCGGAUCAGAAUGCCGCGGUGAAUACGUUCCCGGGCCUUGUACACACCGCCCGUCACACCAUGGGAGUUGAUUGCACCAGAAGUGGAUAGCUUAACCUUCGGGGAGGCGUUCACCACGGUGUGGU
RNAcentral lists this ribosomal RNA (1467 nucleotides) under Psychrobacter sp. KJF2-6. Its description in RNAcentral is "16S ribosomal RNA". It matches the Rfam family "Bacterial small subunit ribosomal RNA". The record is from RNAcentral. Lineage: Bacteria; Pseudomonadati; Pseudomonadota; Gammaproteobacteria; Moraxellales; Moraxellaceae.